This 440-nucleotide ribosomal RNA is filed under the name uncultured bacterium. RNAcentral's name for it is "partial 16S ribosomal RNA". It matches the Rfam family "Bacterial small subunit ribosomal RNA", at positions 338 to 795 of the family's 1533-position model. The record is from RNAcentral.
CCUACGGGCGGCAGCAGUGGGGGAUAUUGCACAAUGGGGGAAACCCUGAUGCAGCGACGCCGCGUGAGUGAAGAAGUAUUUCGGUAUGUAAAGCUCUAUCAGCAGGGAAGAAAAUGACAGUACCUGACCAAGAAGCCCCGGCUAACUACGUGCCAGAAGCCGCGGUAAUACGUAGGGGGCAAGCGUGAUCCGGGUUUACGGGGUGUAAGGGGAGCGUAGACGGUUUGGCAAGCCAGAUGUGAAAGGCUGGGGCGCAACCCCAGGACUGCAUUUGGAACUGUCAGGCUAGAGUGUCGGAGAGGCAGGCGGAAUUCCUAGUGUAGCGGUGAAAUGCGUAGAUAUUAGGAGGAACACCAGUGGCGAAGGCGGCCUGCUGGACGAUGACUGACGUUGAGGCUCGAAAGCGUGGGGAGCAAACAGGAUUAGAUACCCUUGUAGUC